Molecule: ribosomal RNA, 385 nt
Filed under: Stemphylium vesicarium
Lineage: Eukaryota; Fungi; Ascomycota; Dothideomycetes; Pleosporales; Pleosporaceae
Description: partial 18S ribosomal RNA
Rfam family: Eukaryotic small subunit ribosomal RNA
Source: RNAcentral
UUUUUAGCAUGGAAUAAUGGAAUAGGACGUGCGUUUCUAUUUUGUUGGUUUCUAGAGACGCCGCAAUGAUUAACAGGAACAGUCGGGGGCAUCAGUAUUCAGUUGUCAGAGGUGAAAUUCUUGGAUUUACUGAAGACUAACUACUGCGAAAGCAUUUGCCAAGGAUGUUUUCAUUAAUCAGUGAACGAAAGUUAGGGGAUCGAAGACGAUCAGAUACCGUCGUAGUCUUAACCGUAAACUAUGCCGACUAGGGAUCGGGCGAUGUUCUUUUUUUGACUCGCUCGGCACCUUACGAGAAAUCAAAGUUUUUGGGUUCUGGGGGGAUUAUGGUCGCAAGGCUGAAACUAAAGAAAUUGACGGAAGGUCACCACCAGGCUGAGCUGAA